This 66-nucleotide transfer RNA is filed under the name Staphylococcus aureus 1101-1 2011. RNAcentral's name for it is "partial tRNA-Ile". It matches the Rfam family "tRNA", at positions 1 to 63 of the family's 71-position model. From Rfam's summary of the family: Transfer RNA (tRNA) molecules are approximately 80 nucleotides in length. Their secondary structure includes four short double-helical elements and three loops (D, anti-codon, and T loops). Further hydrogen bonds mediate the characteristic L-shaped molecular structure. tRNAs have two regions of fundamental functional importance: the anti-codon, which is responsible for specific mRNA codon recognition, and the 3' end, to which the tRNAs corresponding amino acid is attached (by aminoacyl-tRNA synthetases). tRNAs cope with the degeneracy of the genetic code in two manners: having more than one tRNA (with a specific anti-codon) for a particular amino acid; and 'wobble' base-pairing, i.e. permitting non-standard base-pairing at the 3rd anti-codon position. Lineage: Bacteria; Bacillati; Bacillota; Bacilli; Caryophanales; Staphylococcaceae. The record is from RNAcentral.
GGGCCUAUAGCUCAGCUGGUUAGAGCGCACGCCUGAUAAGCGUGAGGUCGGUGGUUCGAGUCCACU